This 228-nucleotide long non-coding RNA is filed under the name Nicotiana benthamiana. RNAcentral describes it as "long non-coding RNA (NBEN_LNC033151)". The record is from RNAcentral. Lineage: Eukaryota; Viridiplantae; Streptophyta; Magnoliopsida; Solanales; Solanaceae.
UCCGAGAUGGUUUGAAGAGACGCAUCCGGUUGAGCACGAGGGCGACGAGCUUGAGUUGGAGGAGGAGGAAGAUGUUGUUGAUCAUGGGCAUGGAAAGAAGUUUCUUGUAUUUCCCAAUGUUUGGUACGAUUUUUCUUGGUGCCAACAUUGGGCUUGAGUUGGAGGAUGAGGAAGAUGUUGUUGAUCAUGGCCAUGGAAAGAAGUUUCUUGUAUUUCCCAAUGUUUGGU